Molecule: long non-coding RNA, 150 nt
Organism: Danaus plexippus (monarch butterfly)
Lineage: Eukaryota; Metazoa; Arthropoda; Insecta; Lepidoptera; Nymphalidae
Exons: 2
Source: RefSeq, a predicted model, not a curated record
UUAUAUAUAAAUUAAGGGAGUUGUAUCACUUGCUGUCACAAAACAAGCAAAUAGUCCUCUUCUGGACACCAGCCCACAUUGGUGUGAAUGUUUAGUAUUCAAAGGAUGGUCCUUGUAGAUCAACUUUUAAGUAUUUUUAAAACUGCUGAA